RNAcentral lists this non-coding RNA (24 nucleotides) under Rattus norvegicus (Norway rat). The record is from RNAcentral. Lineage: Eukaryota; Metazoa; Chordata; Mammalia; Rodentia; Muridae.
UUGAAUGCUGAUGGAUGCUCACUA